AAAGGAAUAGACGGGGGCCCGCACAAGCAGUGGAGUAUGUGGUUUAAUUCGAAGCAACGCGAAGAACCUUACCAGGGCUUGACAUCCUCAGAACCUCUGUGAGAACAGAGGGUGCCUUCGGGAACUGAGUGACAGGUGGUGCAUGGUUGUCGUCAGCUCGUGUCGUGAGAUGUUGGGUUAAGUCCCGCAACGAGCGCAACCCUUAUUAUUAGUUGCUAACAUUCAGUUGAGCACUCUAAUGAGACUGCCGUUGACAAAACGGAGGAAGGUGGGGACGACGUCAAAUCAUCAUGCCCCUUAUGUCCUGGGCUACACACGUACUACAAUGGCCGUUAACAAUGGGAAGCCAAGCCGCGAGGUGGAGCAAAUCCCCAAAAACGGUCCCAGUUCGGAUUGCAGGCUGAAACUCGCCUGUAUGAAGUUGGAAUUGCUAGUAAUCGCGAAUCAGAAUGUCGCGGUGAAUACGUUCCCGGGCCUUGUACACACCGCCCGU
Molecule: ribosomal RNA, 493 nt
Filed under: uncultured bacterium
Lineage: Bacteria
Description: bacterial SSU rRNA
Rfam family: Bacterial small subunit ribosomal RNA
Source: RNAcentral